CCUACGGGAGACUGCAGUGGGGAAUAUUGGGCAAUGGGCGCAAGCCUGACCCAGCAACGCCGCGUGAAGGAAGAAGGCUUUCUGGUUUUAAACUUCUUUUAAUCGGGAAGAGCAGAAGACGGUACCUCUUGAAUAAGCCACGGCUAACUACGUGCCAGCAGCCGCGGCAAUACGUAGGGGGCAAGCCUUGUCCGGAUUUACGGGGUGUAAAGGGCGUGCAGCCGGGAAGACAAGUCAGGUGUGAAAUCCCGCGGCUCAAACGCGGAACAGCAUUUGAAACUGUUUUUCUUGAGUACCGGAGAAGUACUCGGAAUUCGUGGUGUAGCGGUGAAAUGCGUAGAUAUAAGGAAGAACACCAGUGGCGAAGGCGGAUGACUGGAGGGCGACUGACGGUGAGGCGCGAAAGCGUGGGGAGCAAACAGGAUUAGAUACCCCUGUAGUC
Molecule: ribosomal RNA, 442 nt
Filed under: uncultured bacterium
Lineage: Bacteria
Description: partial 16S ribosomal RNA
Rfam family: Bacterial small subunit ribosomal RNA
Source: RNAcentral